CGUCACUAUUCUGCGCCGCGCCGGUCGUGCGCCGACGUGCGUCUCCUUCGGACUUUCCAGGAGCAGCCUCGUGCUUUCUUGAAAUCCCUAAUCUCUGCGAAGUCAAACUCUUAGUCCUCAUUUUAUUGCCUUACUUUACACUGAAGUAACCCAAGUUUUAUUUUAAGCCCGUCACAUGUCUCAGUGAAUUCUAAAGCUUUACACAAAGGGUUGGUCCACAGCACUGCAGGAGGUGGGAGACAUAAAAUUUCUUCUUACAAGAAGACUCCCAAGGUGGGUCAGAGUUGGCCAGAAGCACAGAGAAGACUCUAUAGUCAAAUGCCAACUGGGGAAAUGUAGUAGGAUUAGCAGUCUGUUGGUCUCUGUAGUAUCUGUAAUGUCAGAUUAAGGGAACCAUCUGGAGGCUGGCAAUGGCCCCUUCCCUUCCCAGGUAACCAAUCUGGUCCUAAAACAAAGAAACACUUAAAAGGAUAAUCUGGGAUUGGAACAGUUCUCAUCACAGAAAAUCCUUCUUCCAAGCCUGGGCCUAGCCUAGUUCUGUAUCAAGGUCAAAGAGCUGGAGAGAAGUCCUUUUUGCUGGAGUUUCAGUUUCAUCUCAUCUUUGCUCUGUAUCUCUGUGGGUACCAUCAGCCUUGGCCAGGUAGGAAAUGUCAAUUACUAGUAUUUGCUCUAACUGUUCUACACAAAGAUGCUCAGUAAGAAGGAAGCCAAAUCCUUGGCAGUUACUCCUGCCUUACACAGGUAAAUGGCUAGUCCAUCUAGUCCCUUAUUGCAUUGUUUGUAUUCCAAGAACUGUGAGCUCAGACUUUCAGAAUCCCUUUACAAUCAAGACACCAAAUAUCUGAAAUCAUUCCCAGCUCUGACAAAUUUGCCUUCUGGGAUCUGGAGACAAAGCCAGUUAUUUGUCACACUAUUGCUGAUCACUUGUGGAACUGCCUUGAGGCUGGUCAUUAGCAAUUUGAAGCCAUAAUUUUCACUGAGGAUCCAAACCUUAGAUCACCUUUUAUUUGCCUGGGACCUGAUGAAGGGGUCAAGGUGACACCUGGGAUGUAAAAAAGAUGCUGCAAGUGCCUGUAAGCCCAGGCUGUGUGGCAAGCUAGGGCCACCACCAACUCUCCACUAUGACUUUACCACAGGCCUUACUCAAGCACAGGCAACGGACCCACUGGUAAUCAGAUGUGCACUAUAUACAGACUGCACCUGCUGAU
Long non-coding RNA from Herpailurus yagouaroundi (jaguarundi), 1208 nucleotides. RefSeq lists it as uncharacterized. The transcript has 2 exons. The record is from RefSeq and is a predicted model, not a curated record. Lineage: Eukaryota; Metazoa; Chordata; Mammalia; Carnivora; Felidae.